UUCGACCUCAAAUCAGGUAA
RNAcentral lists this ribosomal RNA (20 nucleotides) under uncultured Glomus. RNAcentral describes it as "partial 28S ribosomal RNA". Lineage: Eukaryota; Fungi; Glomeromycota; Glomeromycetes; Glomerales; Glomeraceae. The record is from RNAcentral.